CCUACGGGAGGCAGCAGUAGGGAAUGUUCGUCAAUGGGCGCAAGCCUGAACGAGCAAUGCCGCGUGAAGGAGGAAGGUCUUCGGAUCGUAAAGUUCUGUUGAAGGGGAAAAAGAGCGGAGAGAGGAAAUGGUCUCCGAGAGAUAUUACCGAUGGAGGAAGGCACGGCUAACGACGUGCCAGCAGCCGCGGUAAGACGUAGGGGGCGAGCGUUAGCCGGAUGGGUUGGGCGUAAGGGGUGCGUAGGCGGCCUGCUAAGGCUGGAGUUAAAGGGACCGGCUCACCCGGUAUAGGCUCUGGAAACUGGCGGGCUAGAGAGCAGGAGAGGGCGGUGGACCUCCAUGUGUAGCGGU
This 351-nucleotide ribosomal RNA is filed under the name uncultured bacterium. Its description in RNAcentral is "partial 16S ribosomal RNA". It matches the Rfam family "Bacterial small subunit ribosomal RNA", at positions 338 to 682 of the family's 1533-position model. The record is from RNAcentral.